GAUGAAGAACGUAGCGAAAUGCGAUACGUAGUGUGAAUUGCAGAAUUCCGUGAACCAUCAAAUCUUUGAACGCAUAUUGCGCUCGAGGCUUCGGCCGAGAGCAUGUCUGCCUCAGCGUCGGUAUUACCCCUCGCUUCUCAACCCCUGGUUGGUGCCUGCCUGCCUUUGCAGUUGGCUAGAAGCGGAUCUGGCUUUCCCAAUUGCCUUUGGUAGUUGGGUCAGCUGAAGCACAGAGGCUUGAGCAAGGACCCUUAUUGGGCUUCAACUGGAUAGGUAGAACUGGUCUUAGGACCAACUACACGAAGUUGUUGCUUGUGGUCUUUUGUCUGGAGGCCAGCAGGAAACCUUUAUACCUUCGACCUGAGCUCAGGCAAGAUUACCCGCUGAACUUAAGCAUAUCAAUAAGCGGAGGA
This 413-nucleotide unclassified non-coding RNA is filed under the name soil metagenome. Its description in RNAcentral is "partial contains 5.8S ribosomal RNA, internal transcribed spacer 2, and large subunit ribosomal RNA". The stretch from base 1 to 120 matches the Rfam family "5.8S ribosomal RNA", at positions 35 to 154 of the family's 154-position model. The record is from RNAcentral.